GACGAACGCUGGCGGCGUGCUUAACACAUGCAAGUCGAACGGUAAGGCCCCAGCUUGCUGGGGUACACGAGUGGCGAACGGGUGAGUAACACGUGGGUGACCUGCCCUGCACUUCGGGAUAAGCCUGGGAAACUGGGUCUAAUACCGGAUAGGACCGCACCGUGAGGGUGUGGUGGAAAGUUUUUCGGUGUGGGAUGGGCCCGCGGCCUAUCAGCUUGUUGGUGGGGUAAUGGCCUACCAAGGCGGCGACGGGUAGCCGGCCUGAGAGGGUGGACGGCCACAUUGGGACUGAGACACGGCCCAGACUCCUACGGGAGGCAGCAGUGGGGAAUAUUGCACAAAGGGCGGAAGCCUGAUGCAGCGACGCCGCGUGGGGGAUGACGGCCUUCGGGUUGUAAACUCCUUUCACCAUCGACGAAGGUUUUCUGACGGUAGAUGGAGAAGAAGCACCGGCUAACUACGUG
RNAcentral lists this ribosomal RNA (464 nucleotides) under uncultured bacterium. RNAcentral describes it as "partial 16S ribosomal RNA". It matches the Rfam family "Bacterial small subunit ribosomal RNA", at positions 28 to 507 of the family's 1533-position model. The record is from RNAcentral.